This 208-nucleotide unclassified non-coding RNA is filed under the name Hevea brasiliensis (rubber tree). Lineage: Eukaryota; Viridiplantae; Streptophyta; Magnoliopsida; Malpighiales; Euphorbiaceae. The record is from RNAcentral.
GAUGAUAUAGGUAUUUAUAGUAUACAACUAAUCCAAAUACUGUUAGGGUUAGGAAUCUUGAAAUACUAAAAUACUAAACCAAUCUAAUUAUGAAUACAAAAACAACUAGUAAAUUCUAAACAAUAAAAUUCCUUAAUUAUUACUUGUAGACAACAUACUUUGUUUGGGUAUUUUUUGUAAAAAAGAAAAAUUUCAAUUUCAUUUCCUU